UACGAGUGCUUCGAGCGUUAUCCGGAAUCAUUGGGCGUAAAGGGUGUGUGAGGCGGUUGUGUUAGUCAUCGCGUUAAAUCUUCGGCUCAACCGAGAGUCUGCGUGGGAAACGGCACGGCUGGAGGACGGAAGAGGUUUCUGGAACUCAUAGUGUAGCGGUGAAAUGCGUUGAUAUUAUGGGGAACACCAAAUGCGAAGGCAAGAAACUGGUCCGCUCCUGACGCUGAAACACGAAAGCGUGGGUCGCGAAUGGG
RNAcentral lists this ribosomal RNA (254 nucleotides) under uncultured bacterium. RNAcentral describes it as "partial 16S ribosomal RNA". It matches the Rfam family "Bacterial small subunit ribosomal RNA", at positions 524 to 776 of the family's 1533-position model. The record is from RNAcentral.